GAUGAACGCUGGUGGCGUGCUUAACACAUGCAAGUCGAACGGGGUUAUGAUGUGCGAAGGAAUUAGCUUGCUAAGGACGGAGCUUUUCAUAACCUAGUGGCGGACGGGUGAGUAACGCGUGGGGAACCUGCCCUGUACAGGGGGAUAACACUUAGAAAUAGGUGCUAAUACCGCAUAAGCGCACAGUACCGCAUGGUACAGUGUGAAAAACUCCGGUGGUACAGGAUGGCUCCGCGUCUGAUUAGCUAGUUGGUGAGGUAACGGCCCACCAAGGCGACGAUCAGUAGCCGGCCUGAGAGGGUGAACGGCCACAUUGGGACUGAGACACGGCCCAAACUCCUACGGGAGGCAGCAGUGGGGGAUAUUGGACAAUGGGGGGAACCCUGAUCCAGCGACGCCGCGUGAGUGAAGAAGUAUUUCGGUAUGUAAAGCUCUAUCAGCAGGGAAGAAAGUGACGGUACCUGACUAAGAAGCCCCGGCUAACUACGUGCCAGCAGCCGCGGUAAUACGUAGGGGGCAAGCGUUAUC
This 528-nucleotide ribosomal RNA is filed under the name uncultured bacterium. RNAcentral's name for it is "bacterial SSU rRNA". It matches the Rfam family "Bacterial small subunit ribosomal RNA", at positions 28 to 545 of the family's 1533-position model. The record is from RNAcentral.